This 484-nucleotide ribosomal RNA is filed under the name uncultured bacterium. RNAcentral describes it as "partial 16S ribosomal RNA". It matches the Rfam family "Bacterial small subunit ribosomal RNA", at positions 30 to 507 of the family's 1533-position model. The record is from RNAcentral.
AUUGAACGCUGGCGGCAGGCCUAACACAUGCAAGUCGAGCGGAUGAAGGGAGCUUGCUCCUGGAUUCAGCGGCGGACGGGUGAGUAAUGCCUAGGAAUCUGCCUGGUAGUGGGGGAUAACGUCCGGAAACGGGCGCUAAUGCCGCAUACGUCCUGAGGGGGAAAGUGGGGGAUCUUCGGACUUCACGCUAUCAGAUGAGCCUAGGUCGGAUUAGCUAGUUGGUGGGGUAAAGGCCUACCAAGGCGACGAUCCGUAACUGGUCUGAGAGGAUGAUCAGUCACACUGGAACUGAGACACGGUCCAGGCUCCUACGGGAGGCAGCAGUGGGGAAUAUUGGACAAUGGGCGAAAGCCUGAUCCAGCCAUGCCACGUGUGUGAAGAAGGUCUUCGGAUUGUAAAGCACUUUAAGUUGGGAGGAAGGGCAGUAAGUUAAUACCUUGCUGUUUUGACGUUACCAACAGAAUAAGCACCGGCUAACUUCGCG